UUUACGAGGUUAUGCUCCGAGGGGAUUCAUCACACAUGGAAUAUGUUUGUCUGGGGCAUGUGUUCCACUAUCUCAUGAUUUAACUAAAUUAUGAUUCAUCAGAGCAGUAAACCCAAUAGAAAUAGAAAUAGUCAAGUGGGAGAGUUACGUAAAGGAGAGCACGAAAAUUGAUGCAUAAAAGUGUUUGGGUGUCAAAAUUUUAUUUUCUUCUCAGGCUUUCCAUGCUUUUCUGGGAUUUGCAUUGCAAUGUCAAUAUGCUGAGGGACUUCUAACUAGCAGUAUCGGUAAGCAGUAGCCGUCUCUAUCGCAUCGAUGGCCCAGUCUCUGUACUUUUUCCAUGACAUUAGGAUUUUAUCUCAUAUACAUUAACGAAUUGGUCAGCUACAAAAACGAGUCCUAGUAAGUUUCUAAGAGGCAAUAUAUGGAGCAAAGGAGUUACUUUUACCCUUCAGACAUUUUAUAGCUAAAAAAGAGAAAAACAGAGCAACUUGUUGAUAUGAGUGUUGAUGGGAAAAGAAGAUGGGACAAUCUUAAUGCUAUCGCUUGGAAGGGAGGAGUAGAAUUAGAAGCAGCAGAAGUCAAAGUCAAGAUGUAGACCAGAAACAAUUAUUGUUGAUCCCUGUCUUCAUUUGAGGCAUUUCCUUUCCGUCUCUGCUGCUGCUAGACGGUAAGCUUCAGCAGUGAAACUGGGAUAAGGAAAGAGAUGGGAAUUUGUUGGGGGGAUCCUCGCUUCCCGACUCCGAGUCACACUGGUUCUCUCAACUCAGGGAUGAAGCUGACAAUCAGCAGUUCAUCAUCCUCUGAGCAAAGUGCCGGUCCGAACAGCAAUGAGCCCUUCCCUGAUGGAAUGAUUUUUCUGGAGACGAAUCUGAGGAACUUCACUCUUGCAGAACUGAAGGCUGCAACAGGGAAUUUCGGAAGCGACUCGUUGCUCGGAGAAGGAGGCUUUGGCCAAGUCUUCAAAGGCCUGCUAGACGAGAAGGCACCUUUGGGAAGGAGAAAGACAGUCAUUGCUGUAAAAAAACUCAAUGAGGAAAGUUUUCACGGAUAUAAAGAAUGGAAGUCAGAGAUCGAGUUUCUUGGAAGGCUAUAUCAUCCUAACCUUGCAACGCUGCUUGGAUACUGUCAUGAGAAUUCCAAGAUGUUACUCGUAUAUGACUUUGCACCAAAGGGAAGCUUGAACAACCACCUCUUUGGAAGGGGCUCAGUUGUUCAUCCUCUUCCAUGGAGUUUAAGGCUUAAGAUUGCGAUUGGAGCUGCACGAGGUCUGGCUUUCUUGCACUCUUUCGAGAGGGCAAUUAUCUACCGAGACCUAAAGACAUCGAAUAUUUUGCUGGACGCGUCUCAUGUUGCCAAACUCUCGGAUUUUGGGCUGGCAAGGCUUGGUCCUAAAGAUGGCGAGACACAUGUUUCGACAAGGAUUAUGGGGACAUAUGGCUAUGCCGCCCCGGAAUAUGUAGCAACCGGACAUCUUUAUAUUGAGAGUGAUGUGUACUCUUACGGUGUCGUGUUGCUUGAGCUGCUAACAGGCCUGAAGGCAGUAGAUCGUGACCGUCCAAAAGAUAAACAUAAGCUAGUGGAGUGGGCCAAGCCACGCUUACAGCAUGAAAGAAAAGUUGUAUCCAUGAUGGACCCUAAACUAGGAGGGAAAUAUCCUCCAGGGGCUGCCCUGGAAAUUGGUAAGCUUGCAUUGAGAUGUCUCAAAAAUGGUCCGAAACUACGACCUUCCAUGGCUGAGGUUGUGAAAUCAAUGGAAGAGAUCGAAGCUGGUGCCAAAGGAACAAGGGAUCCGUAAAUCAGCUUUAUGCACUGGAUAUUCGGAUAUUCACAGCACAUAUGUAUGUUGCAGGCAGUGCUAUGCCAAGAAGGAUCAAUUCUGGGUCUCUCAAGGACAUCUUCAUGUUAAGAGUGAUGUCUACUCUUACGGUGUUGUGUUGCUUGAGCUGCUAACCGGCCAAAUGAUACUAAAUCCAAGACGUCGCAAAGAUAAAAGCGAUCUAGUGAAAUGGGCCAAGCCACUCUUACAGCAUAAAAGAAAAGUUGUAUCUAUGAUGGACAAAACUACGAGGGAAAUGUCCUCCAAACUGCUCCGAAACCCUGGCCUUCCAUGGAGGAGGUUGUGAAGUCACUGGAAGGGAUCGAAGCCGCUGCCAAAGGAACAAGGGAUCGAUGAAUCAGCUUUAUGCAUGCCACGGUCAAUAUGAACACCCUGCAAGCCCAUGAGACGGGAAGUCCGGCCACAAGCCUUGCAAGUGGUGGUUCAAUAAAGAGUAUUUUCUUGCAUGACGUUUGUGACGUGAUUUGAACCUGAGACUUUCCAUUGAUAGUCACACCCUUUGACCAACAGGCCAGCUAAUGCUCUUGGGUUAAUUGCUAUGCAUAUUGCUUACAGUUGAACAUAAAACCAUGUUGGUCUUCGGCAGUAUAUACGGUCCUCUUACAACUCACCAUUGUUUGGGUUUAAUGAAGGUUUAUGAGCAUUAUCGA
This is a non-coding RNA of Punica granatum (pomegranate), 2487 nucleotides long. The record is from RefSeq and is a predicted model, not a curated record. NCBI's taxonomy places the organism in Eukaryota, Viridiplantae, Streptophyta, Magnoliopsida, Myrtales, Lythraceae.